CAUUAAUGGUUCUGGCAUUGCAUGGGAUUCUCAUUGAAACUUUGCCACACCUCAUGUAAGGGCUCACCACUAAGUUGACAAAAAUUUAUGAUCUCAUCCCUUAGUUA
Non-coding RNA from Capsicum annuum, 107 nucleotides. Lineage: Eukaryota; Viridiplantae; Streptophyta; Magnoliopsida; Solanales; Solanaceae. The record is from Rfam.